AGGGGUAUAGCUCAGUUGGUAGAGCACGAGGUUUUGAUCCUCGGUGUCGCAAGUUCAAGUCUUGCUACCCCCG
Molecule: transfer RNA, 73 nt
Filed under: Vibrio phage KIT04
Lineage: Duplodnaviria; Heunggongvirae; Uroviricota; Caudoviricetes; Demerecviridae
Rfam family: tRNA
About the family: Transfer RNA (tRNA) molecules are approximately 80 nucleotides in length. Their secondary structure includes four short double-helical elements and three loops (D, anti-codon, and T loops).
Source: Rfam by way of RNAcentral